CCUACGGGAGGCAGCAGUAGGGAAUCUUCCACAAUGGACGAAAGUCUGAUGGAGCAACGCCGCGUGAGUGAAGAAGGGUUUCGGCUCGUAAAGCUCUGUUGGUAGUGAAGAAAGAUAGAGGUAGUAACUGACCUUUAUUUGACGGUAAUUACUUAGAAAGUCACGGCGAACUACGUGCCAGCAGCCGCGGUAAUACGUAGGUGGCAAGCGUUGUCCGGAUUUAUUGGGCGUAACGCGAGUGCAGGCGGUUCAACAAGUCUGAUGUGAAAGCCUUCGGCUCAACCGCGGAAUUGCAUCAGAAACUGUUGAACUUGAGUGCAGAAGGGGAGAGUGGAACUCCAUGUGUAGCGGUGGAAUGCGUAGAUAUAUGGAAGAACACCAGUGGCGAAGGCGGCUUUCUGGUCUGCAACUGACGCUGAGGCUCGAAAGCAUGGGUAGCGAACAGGAUUAGAUACCCGGGUAGUC
RNAcentral lists this ribosomal RNA (465 nucleotides) under uncultured bacterium. RNAcentral's name for it is "partial 16S ribosomal RNA". It matches the Rfam family "Bacterial small subunit ribosomal RNA", at positions 338 to 795 of the family's 1533-position model. The record is from RNAcentral.